UAUUUAGGUAAUAUUAAAUAUGUGUUUUUGCGUGGGGAUUAUUUUAUCUUAAAGAUAAUAUGGUUUUUAUUUGUAGUUUUUUAUUUUGGAUAUUACAUUGCUGUAGAUCCAGUUAAUUUACUUAAGACUGUUUUAAGUUGUGCCAGCAAACGCGGUUAUACAUCUGGUCUAAGUUAAUUUUUUCGGUUAAUAUUAAUUUUUUUUGUUGAAUAUUUUUUAUAUAUAAUUAGGUGAAAUUUUUAUAUAUUAUAUAUUAUUUUGGUUAAAGAUUAUAUGAAAUUUGGGAGUUAAACUAGGAUUAGAUACCCUAUUAUUCCAAAUGUAAAGGUUUUACCAUAGUAUUAAUAGUUAUGAUCUUUAAAUUAAAAGAAUUUGGCGGUAAUCUAGUCUUUUCAGAGGAACCUGUCCUUUAAUCGAUAAUCCACGUUUUAUUUAACUUUAAUUUUGUUUGUAUAUCUCUGUCAUUGAAUGUUUUAUUAGAAUAUUUUCUUUAAUUAUUUAUUUAAUUAAUGUCAGGUCAAGGUGCAACUAUAUUAAAGGUUGAGAUGGGUUACAUUUAAUGCUAUUUAUUGGAUUAUUUUUUGGUAAGUGGAAAUAUUAAAAAGGAUUUGAAAGUAAUAUUUAUUAUUUUAUAAAUAUGAUUUUAGCUCUAGAUUAUGCACAUAUCGCCCGUCACUUUCAUUUAUAAGGUGAAAUAAGUCGUAACAAAGUAAUUUUACUGGAAAGUGAAGUUAGAAAUAUA
Molecule: non-coding RNA, 742 nt
Filed under: Pephricus paradoxus
Lineage: Eukaryota; Metazoa; Arthropoda; Insecta; Hemiptera; Coreidae
Source: RNAcentral